This 363-nucleotide ribosomal RNA is filed under the name uncultured bacterium. RNAcentral describes it as "bacterial SSU rRNA". It matches the Rfam family "Bacterial small subunit ribosomal RNA", at positions 29 to 422 of the family's 1533-position model. The record is from RNAcentral.
AGCGAACGCUGGCGGCAGGCUUAACACAUGCAAGUCGAACGGAUCCUUCGGGAUCAGUGGCAGACGGGUGAGUAACACGUGGGAACGUGCCUUUUGGUUCGGAACAACUCAGGGAAACUUGAGCUAAUACCGGAUGUGCCCUUCGGGGAAGGAUUAUCGCCAUUAGAGCGGCCCGCGUCUGAUUAGCUAGUUGGUGAGGUAAAGGCUCACCAAGGCUUCAAUCAGUAGCUGGCUGAGAGGAUGAUCAGCCACACUGGGACUGAGACACGGCCCAGACUCCUACGGGAGGCAGCAGUGGGGAAUCUUGCGCAAUGGGCGAAAGCCUGACGCAGCCAUGCCGCGUGAAUGAUGGAGGUCUUAGGA